AGGCAAAUUAUAGACAGUGACAGUGAAUAAACCUUUAGAAAAUCCUUGCGGAGCCACAACACGUUCCCAUAACCGACACUGAUGAGUUGUGAUAAGGAGUAAAGAGUCCUGUGGGAAUACAGUAAUGUAAUCAUUCAGUUGAAGAGGUCAAGAAUCGGUGGCGGAGCUGCAGGGACCAGUUCCGCAAAGAAAUGAAACAUCGUGGGCGGAGCGGGGCUGGUCCCCCCAAGAAAAGGCCCUAUCUUUUCAGGGAGCAGCUGAUGUUCCUGCGCGAUGUUAUGGAGCUGCGUCCAACUGAAGACAACCUAGAGGAGGAAGCUGAUGAGUCGGGCCCGCACCAAUCAGGUGCAUGUGAGGAGGACAGCAACAUCAAGGCCUCCUGCAGCAUCUGGUGGCGAGUCCCUCACCUCCCCUCUGGCU
Bufo gargarizans (Asiatic toad) is the source of this 420-nucleotide long non-coding RNA. RefSeq lists it as uncharacterized. The transcript is spliced from 3 exons. The record is from RefSeq and is a predicted model, not a curated record. Lineage: Eukaryota; Metazoa; Chordata; Amphibia; Anura; Bufonidae.